Molecule: long non-coding RNA, 1669 nt
Organism: Hordeum vulgare subsp. vulgare (domesticated barley)
Lineage: Eukaryota; Viridiplantae; Streptophyta; Magnoliopsida; Poales; Poaceae
Exons: 6
Source: RefSeq, a predicted model, not a curated record
GUACAGGCCCAAUCGGCAAUCGAGGGCAGCCGACAGCAGCGACCAACGCAACGCCUCGUCGCCUCGACCGACACCCACGGCGAACAGCGGAUGCUUCAUUAUUCUCUCCGCCUCUUUCGUUUCCCCAAUCUGAAGCUUCCGUUAAUGGCGACCGGAUCCAAUCUGACAAUCUCCUUUCCAGCCAUUUAGAUCAAUUAAAGGACGACCGUGCCUUAUUAGGUGGAUUGAAUCCAGCGAAUUCCUGCUUUGUUUUCAACGGCUUGAUUCCCUGAUAUCACGCCCAAGCUGCUCAUGGGCUUGAUCCCCUGAUAUCACGCCCAAGCUGCUCAUGGGCUUGAUCCCCUGAUAUCACGCCCAAGCUGCUCAUGGGCUUGAUCCCCUGAUAUCACGCCCAAGCUGUUCAUGUAGCUGUGAAGGGGAUUUCGUUCGCGGGGAGAUCGUAGCAGACCUGGAUCGGAGUAGACGAGCAGUCCAUUCGACAGCAAUCAGGUUCUUCUGCCACCAUUCUUUGGGUGUUCACUCUUCAGACUGCAGUUUGUAGGUACUUUUAAUCCAAUUUUUUGCCUUGGCUUUUGACGAGUAUACUAUUUUUUUGCUAAGAUGUCAUCUAGAAAUCAUGUAAUUUCCUUAUGUAAUUUGCAUUUCAUCUUUUGCAGUGUUGGGAUCAUAUAGUGAGAGUGUGUGUCAUAAUCUGUAAUCAACAAAGUAUUAUCUAUAUCGACUUUGUAAUAAAAAAAUGCAGGAUUAACUAUUUCAGUACAUAUUUUAUGUGCAUGGGGCCCCUCUCUUUGGUUUUGCACAGGGCCCCUGAUAUGACAGGGCGUCUCUACGACGCCGAACAUCCCCAAUGGGUGUUCAUCAAGUGCAAAAACGAUGAGGUGCAGUGGCGAAGCCACGUUAUACGUGUGUAGUGGCUUGACUAGACAGGAUUUUCGUACGUAGUUGAUCCAGGUAACAAUUGGUUGGGCCGCUAGCAAGAAGUCCGAAAUCCCUUAACUGCGUUGAUUCCCAAAUUACGUGAUCUCCUUCAACAUCCGGUACUAACUCAUGACCGUCCCAGCAGUCUGGCGAGCCGCGAGCGACGACGCACCCGCGGCUGCACACGCAUAGUGUGCGACAGCGCGAGAAUCAAUUGAUCAAUACGGUUGUACUAGUCACUACUCUAUCCGAUCCAACUUCAGGACGAGACCCUCCACUUCUAUUUAUAAGUUUUAUUAUUUAUUUAUCUGCUUCCCUUUAUCUUCCAUUUUUUUCUCUCACUAGCAAUAUUAGGAUUCAGGAAGCAAGAGAUUUUUUUUUUAUUAAGAAUAAGAAUUGCAUAUUUUGUUUUUCUUAUCUUGUCAGGUCUUUGGUUUGAUAAAUGGAUAAAUUCGUAAAGAAGUGGCAGUCCAAGCCAAAUGUUGCAAAUUCCUCACAACAAUCGCCUAAAAAUGGGGGAAGAACAAACUCCUAUUGAUGCUCACAACAUAUCAAAAGCCAAAACAAAGAACUCGAAGGCAAACAUUUAGUAACUAAACUUCACAUGGUGAUUUGAGAUCUGAAUUUCACAAAGCAUAACACCGACUGCAAGGCCCUAUGUCCAGUGGAGGGCAUUUCCUGUCCAAUAUAUCACCAGAACAUCGGUAACUAAUAGGAGUAGUAUCCAAUGUAAGGCACUCAAGUGAUGUUG